Long non-coding RNA from Monopterus albus (swamp eel), 928 nucleotides. RefSeq lists it as uncharacterized. The transcript is spliced from 5 exons. The record is from RefSeq and is a predicted model, not a curated record. NCBI's taxonomy places the organism in Eukaryota, Metazoa, Chordata, Actinopteri, Synbranchiformes, Synbranchidae.
GAAGUGAAUCACACUGAUGAGCUCGUUACAUCCACCUGUCAGUGGGUGGAGUAUAUAAGGCAGCAAGACAACAGGGUUCAGAGAAGGACGGAGGGUGAAGUGGUGACUUACUGACCAUGAGGUGGCAGUGGCCAGAGGAUCCUUUCUAUUGGCUACACAAACAAGAUGCUCCACAUCACCAACAAUGAGGAAACGCAUGCUUUACAUUUUCCCUCUUCAAGAACAAAAUGACACUACACCCCAUCUCCAAGCUGUGGGUGGAGUGCACCUGAGAAAGUCAACUCAGAACUUGGCAGGCAGCCCAGUGAACAGGACCUGAAGCUUUGUGGGCGCCGCACUAUAAACCUCCAGACAAUUCAGGUGUCUAAAUGUUGACUUGGAACUUCGCUGUGUGUGUAUACACGCACAUCAAGAAAUGCCAAGGGCUGAAAGAAGAGCUAGAAAAGAUGUGGAAGGUGAAGGCACAAGUGGUCCCUGUGGUAAUGGGAACAGUUGGGGCUGUGACCCCAACAGAUCCCAGGAACAUCUGAGAUGCUGCACAGGACCCUCAAGCUCCCAGGCCUCGAGGAAUAGAACACUGUCCCAAAGUGGGGGGGCAGUCAACCAGAUGUCAUUCUAUGGCCAGACCAUCAGCAACAUUCUUGUGGAUGUACAUGGAUACAGGUGAGUUUGUUUAUAAAUGGACAAUUUAUUAUUCAAAUCAAAGCAUUUUUAUUUUGCAGGCUCUUAUCCAGCUGCUGAUGUGCUUUUGGGUAAGAUGGGCAAAUCAAGGUAGUGUACCUCACAUCGUCUGCAGGUGCCUGGACAACAGUUGUGAAGACUUCUACCUUUGACCCCAAAACUUCAGCAGCAUGUGAAAAAGUGUACUCCAUAUGGGAGAUUAUUUCAAAGGCCCUGUGUUCAACACUCAUUCUUAUCAGGGCUUUUU